Molecule: ribosomal RNA, 371 nt
Filed under: uncultured bacterium
Lineage: Bacteria
Description: bacterial SSU rRNA
Rfam family: Bacterial small subunit ribosomal RNA
Source: RNAcentral
AACGAACGCUGGCGGCAGGCUUAACACAUGCAAGUCGAACGCGUGCAGCAAUGCACGAGUGGCGCACGGGUGAGUAACGCGUGGAUAUCUGCCUUCUGGUUCGGAAUAACCCCGGGAAACUGGGGCUAAUACCGAAUGGUUCCUACGGGAUAAAGAUUUAUCGCCAGAAGAUGAGUCCGCGUCCGAUUAGCUAGUUGGUGAGGUAACGGCUCACCAAGGCGACGAUCGGAGCUGGUCUGAGAGGACGAUCAGCCACACUGGGACGUGAGACACGGCCCACGACUCCUACGGGAGGGCAGCAGUGGGGAAGUAUUGGACAAUGGGCGAAAGCCUGAUCCAGCCAUGCCGCGUGAGUGAUGAAGGCCUUAGGG